RNAcentral lists this transfer RNA (66 nucleotides) under Aelia sibirica. Its description in RNAcentral is "tRNA-Phe". The record is from RNAcentral. Lineage: Eukaryota; Metazoa; Arthropoda; Insecta; Hemiptera; Pentatomidae.
ACUUAGAUAGCUUAAAUUUUAAAGCUUAACUCUGAAGAAGUUACUAUAGGGUCAUCCUUCUAAGUA